RNAcentral lists this ribosomal RNA (253 nucleotides) under uncultured bacterium. Its description in RNAcentral is "partial 16S ribosomal RNA". It matches the Rfam family "Bacterial small subunit ribosomal RNA", at positions 524 to 776 of the family's 1533-position model. The record is from RNAcentral.
UACAUAGGGUGCGAGCGUUAAUCGGAAUUACUGGGCGUAAAGCGCGCGUAGGCGGCUUUGCAAGCCGGAUGUGAAAUCCCCGGGCUUAACCUGGGAACUGCAUUCGGGACUGCAUUGCUAGAGUAUGGGAGAGGGAAGUGGAAUUUCAGGUGUAGCGGUGAAAUGCGUAGAUAUCUGAAGGAACAUCAGUGGCGAAAGCGACUUCCUGGACCAAUACUGACGCUCAUGUGCGAAAGCGUGGGGAGCAAACAGG